ACGUAGCUAACCUACCCUUAGGACGAGGACAACCCCGAGAAAUUGGGGCUAAUCCGCGAUAGGUGUGAUGUCCUGGAAUGGUAUCACGCCCAAAGGUGUUCGCACGCCUAAGGAUGGGGCUGCGGCCGAUCAGGCAGUUGGUGAGGUAACGGCUCACCAAACCUUUGACCGGUACGGGCCAUGAGAGUGGUAGCCCGGAGAUGGACACUGAGACAAGGGUCCAGGCCCUACGGGGCGCAGCAGGCGCGAAACCUCCUCAAUGCACUCACGUGCGAAGGGGUUACCUCGAGUGCCGCCUGAAGAAGGCGGCUUUUCCGUGGUCUAAAAAGCCUAGGGAAUAAGAGGGGGGCAAGACUGGUGUCAGCCGCCGCGGUAACACCAGCCCCUCGAGUGGUGGGGAUGAUUAUUUGGCCUAAAGCGUCCGUAGCCGGCCGGGUAAGUCUCCCGUUAAAUCCAGCGUCUCAAGCGUUGGACUGCGGGAGAUACUGUCUGGCUAGAGAGUGGGAGAGGUGUACGGUAUUCUGGGGGUAG
This 531-nucleotide ribosomal RNA is filed under the name uncultured archaeon. Its description in RNAcentral is "bacterial SSU rRNA". It matches the Rfam family "Archaeal small subunit ribosomal RNA", at positions 98 to 629 of the family's 1478-position model. The record is from RNAcentral.